This 253-nucleotide ribosomal RNA is filed under the name uncultured bacterium. RNAcentral's name for it is "partial 16S ribosomal RNA". It matches the Rfam family "Bacterial small subunit ribosomal RNA", at positions 524 to 776 of the family's 1533-position model. The record is from RNAcentral.
UACGUAGGGUGCAAGCGUUAAUCGGAAUUACUGGGCGUAAAGCGUGCGCAGGCGGUUGUGCAAGACAGAUGUGAAAUCCCCGGGCUCAACCUGGGAAUUGCGUUUGAAACUACGGAGCUGGAGUGUGGCAGAGGGAGGUAGAAUUCCACGUGUAGCGGUGAAAUGCGUAGAUAUGUGGAGGAAUACCGAUGGCGAAGGCAGCCUCCUGGGCCAACACUGACGCUCAUGCACGAAAGCGUGGGGAGCAAACAGG